AGCAGCCGCGGUAAUUCCAGCUCCAAUAGCGUAUAUUAAAGUUGUUGCAGUUAAAAAGCUCGUAGUUGAAUUUCGGGACUAAUAUGUCGGUCGUACUUUGUACGUACUAGCAUUAUUGGUUUCUCCCUUCUGACGAACCACGAUGUCAUUAAUUUGGUGUCAUGGGAAAUCAGGACUGUUACUUUGAAAAAUUAGAGUGUUUAAAGCAAGCUCGCGCUUGAAUACAUUAGCAUGGAAUAAUGAAAUAGGACGUUUGAUUCUAUUUUGUUGGUUUCUAGGAUCGACGUAAUGAUUAAUAGGGAUAGUUGGGGGCAUUAGUAUUCAAUUGUCAGAGGUGAAAUUCUUGGAUUAUUGAAGACUAACUACUGCGAAAGCAUUUGCCAAGGAUGUUUUCAUUAAUCAAGAACGAAAGUUAGGGGAUCGAAGACGAUCAGAUACCGUCGUAGUCUUAACCAUAAACUAUGACCGACUAGGGAUCGGAUGAUGUUAAUUUUUAAU
RNAcentral lists this ribosomal RNA (498 nucleotides) under uncultured Glomus. RNAcentral describes it as "SSU rRNA". It matches the Rfam family "Eukaryotic small subunit ribosomal RNA", at positions 569 to 1074 of the family's 1831-position model. The record is from RNAcentral. Lineage: Eukaryota; Fungi; Glomeromycota; Glomeromycetes; Glomerales; Glomeraceae.